UGGAGUAUAGCCAAGUGGUAAGGCAUCGAUUUUUGGUACCGACAUGUAAAGGUUUGAAUCCUUUUACUCUAG
Gossypium raimondii (Peruvian cotton) is the source of this 72-nucleotide transfer RNA. It matches the Rfam family "tRNA". From Rfam's summary of the family: Transfer RNA (tRNA) molecules are approximately 80 nucleotides in length. NCBI's taxonomy places the organism in Eukaryota, Viridiplantae, Streptophyta, Magnoliopsida, Malvales, Malvaceae. The record is from Rfam.